This 6369-nucleotide long non-coding RNA is filed under the name Gossypium raimondii (Peruvian cotton). Its description in RNAcentral is "long non-coding RNA (GRAI_LNC004683)". The record is from RNAcentral. Lineage: Eukaryota; Viridiplantae; Streptophyta; Magnoliopsida; Malvales; Malvaceae.
UUAAGAAUUAUUAUUACUCCCCACUCAAGUGUUUUACAAUGAAGGGAGAGGCCUUUAUUUAUAAUUGAGCCUCCUCAAAUCCAACGGUAUAGAUCAAUUACAUCAAUGGCUAAGAUUAAAGGGUAUCUACAAAUUAAAUCUCUAAGAUUACAAAAUCAUAUCUUCUAAGCAUACCAUAUCUAAGAUUGCAUAUAUCAUAUCUAAGAUUGCAUAUCCUUGAAGAUUAUGUUUCCAUAGGCUUGUAGAUGGACCUUCAACCUUUUCAAGUAAUGGGUCAUUCCGAUCGGGCCAAAUGAUAUAAUUUUGGACUGGACUUGGACUUUGUUUUAUUAUUUUGGGUUUAUUAAUUUUUUGUGAGCCCGGGCUAAAUUGGCCUAUUACAGCUGCCCCUCUUUGCUCAUUGUCAUGUAACGAGAAUGGAGCAAAGACUAUAAAAGGGCCAAUUUUGCCCGAUCGUGUUGGACAUUGGUGUGCUUCUUCUUCAAGUAGCCUCUUCCUGACCCAUUGUAGCUUUAGGGAGAUAAGGCUCACUUCCUUCAACCUAUUCCACUGCAACUUCAGGGAGAUAAGAUUGAUAUCUUCAACUGGCUCCACUGUAACUUCAGGGAGAUAAGGUUGGUUAUCUUCAGUCUUGAUCUACUCCACUGCAACGUUAUGGAAACAAGAUUCGCUACCUUGAGCUUUAAUCUAUUCUACUGUAAUGACAAGGAGAUAAGAUUCGCUGCCUUCUAUCUUCUCCAUUACUACUUAGGGAUACAGGAUCUACAAUCUUCGACCUACUCCACUGCUGCUCAGGGAGAAGGGAUUGGUGGCUUAAAUUUGCUUCCCUACUACCUUGGGAAGAUAGGAUUUGCUGCCUUCGAUCUGGUCCACUACUUCUUAGGGAGACAGGAUCUACAAUCUUCAACCUACUCCACCGCUGCUCAAGGAGAUAGGACUGGUGGCUUAAAUCUGCUUCCCUACUACCUUGGGAAUAUAAGAUUUACCAUCUUCGAUCUGCUCCACACUGCUUAGGGAGACAAGAUCUACAAUCUUCAAUCUACUUCACUGCCAAUACAUGAAGACAAGAUCUGUUAUCUUCAAUCUACUUCGCUGCCAAUACAGGAAGACAAGAUUUGCUAUUUUCGAUCUACUUCGCUGCCAAUACAGGAAGACAAGAUUUGCUAUCUUCGCUACGAGUACAAGAAGACAACAUCUAGAGCAGAAGAAAAUAGUGUUUCUUCCGCAACUAGGUUCUGAUUGGAACCGGUUGGUAGAGUCUCCAUGCAAAGGUAUCUCAUGGGACCUCAUGGGACCUCAUGGGACAAUGGAGGAAGAAAAGGUCUAGAGCAGAAGAUGAUUAAUUGUAAAUAAACUAGUACCGAUCCCACGUAGACCUGAUUUAAGCAGAAGACGAUUAAUUGUGAAGAAACUAGUAUUGAAAAUAAUUGUAUUAUUUCUUAAGAAUGUUAUAUUUAUCAUUUUAAAAAUAAUUUAAAAUAAUAUUUAAAAUUAAAUAAGAUAUUUUAUUUCUCGGUUACCUUGUGCACAAUGCUUGCAAUGUGGUCGUUGUCAUUUAAAAGAACAUUCAGAUUAGGAUCCAUGGAAUGGUUGGCGGUCGUCGGCGAUGGUUAAGCGUGAACAGCAGCAGUCGUCGGCAGUGGUUGAGAGUGGCGGUGGACGGAAUGGCCUAUUUAUAGUGGGGGACCAUUUGAAAGGGGGGCAAAAUUGGAAAAAAAUUUAAUACUUCUGACACACUUUUUUUUUUCAUUCAAUUUGAUUUAUUUCAUUUAAUUUUAAGCACUCAAUUUUAUGACACACUUUUUUUUCUACCAAUCUGAUUUAUUUCAUUCAAUCUGACACACUUUCUUUUUUUUUUUCAUUCAAUUUUAAGCAUGCCAACAUCUGACACACUUUUUUUUUUCAUUCAUUUCAAUGUUUUUUCUACAUCUAACACCCUUUUUUUUUCAUUCAAUCUCAUUUAUUUCAAUUUUAUUUUUCUAUAUCUAACACCCUUCUUUUCAUUCAAUCUCAUUUAUUUCAAUUUUAUUUUUCUACAUCUAACACCCUUUUUUUCAUUCAAUCUCAUUUAUUUUAACUUUUUGAAUUUUUUUUAUACAUAAAAGUGGUGCCGGCCAUUGCCAGGCCACCACAAAAAAAAAUUGAUUUUUUUGUAUACUGGUGCUAGCCAAUAACAGCCAAAAUGUAAAAAAAAAAUUACAUAAAGGUGGUGCCGACCAUUGCCAGGCCACCACCAAAAAAUUUUUUUUUGAAUUUUUUCGUAUACGGGUGUCGGCCUAUGACAGCCAAAGUGUAAAAAAAAAUUGGUGGUGGCCUGGUAAUGGCCGACACCACCUUUACGUAUUUUUUUUUUACAUUUUGGGCUGUCAUUGGUAGGCACUAGUAUACAAAAAAAUUUAAAAAAAAAAUUUGGUGGUGGCCUGCCAAUGGCUGGCACCAUCUUUAUGGGAAAAAAAAAUUUCGAGUGCCAUCAAAAUGAGAGUGUCUUGUAGUAUAUCAUCAAAUAAGUUUUUUUGGAGUGGAUUGUAUAUGGAGUUUUUUGUAGUGUACAAUCAAAUUUCGGGGUUGAAUUAUAUACUGUCAAGUCCACCCUAAAGGUUAUGCUAUUAAGGGUUGGAUGAUUCUUUACACCAUAGAUGGCUAAUCGAGUUGUCCAAUAUGCAGAUGGACAUUAUCUAUGGUGCAAUAGUGUUUAUUCUGCAACUAGGUUCUAAUUGGAAUCGGUUGAUAGAAUCUCCAUGCAAAGGUAUCUCAUGGGACCUCAUAGGACAAUGGAGGAAGAAAAGGUCUAGAGCAGAAGACGAUUAAUUGUGAAGAAACUAGUGCCGGUGCCACGUAGACCUGAUUCAAGCAGAAGACGAUUAAUUGUGAAGAAACUAGUAUUGAAAAUAAUUGUAUUAUUUCUUAAGAAUGUUAUAUUUAUCGUUUUAAAAAUAAUUUAAAAGAAUAUUUAAUAUUAAUUAGGACAUUUUAUUUCUCGGUUACCUUGUACACAAUGCUUGCAAUGUGGUCGUUGUCAUUUAAAAGAACAUUUGGAUUAGGAUCCACGGAGUGAUCGGCGGUCGUCGGCGAUGGUUAAGCAUGAACAGCGGCGGUCGUCGACAGUGGUUGAGGGUGGCGGUGGACGGAAUGGCCUAUUUAUAGUGGGGGACCAUUUUAAAAGGAGGCAAAAUUGGAAAAAAAAUUUAAUACUUCUGACACACUUUUAUUUUUCAGUCAAUUUGGUUUAUUUCAUUUAAUUUUAAUCAUUCAAUUUUAUGACACACUUUUUUUUUCUACCAAUCUGAUUUAUUUCAUUCAAUCUGACACACUUUGUUUUUUUUUCAUUCAAUUUUAAGCAUGCCAACAUCUGACACACUUUUUUUAUCAUUCAUUUCAAUUUUUUAUUUCUACAUCUAACACCCCUUUUUUUCAUUCAAUCUCAUUUAUUUCAAUUUUAUUUUUCUAUAUCUAACACCCUUUUUUUCAUUCAAUCUCAUUUAUUUCAGUUUUAUUUUUCUACAUCUAACACCCUUUUUUUCAUUCAAUGUCAUUUAUUUUAACUUCUUGAAUUUUUUUUUACAUAAAGGUGGUGUCGACCAUUGCCAAGCCACCACCAAAAUUUUUUUUUUGAAUUUUUUCAUAUACUGUUGCCGGCAAAUUACAGCCAAAAUGUAAAAAAAAAUUUACAUAAAGGUGGUGUCGGCCAUUGCCAGGCCACCACAAAAAAAUUGUUUUUUUAUUUUUUCGUAUACUGGUGCCGGCCUAUGAUAGCCAAAAUGUAAAAAAAAAAUGGUGGUGGCCUGGUAAUGGCCGACACCACGUUUAUGUAAUUUUUUUUUUUACACUUUGGGCUGUCAUUGGCAGGCACUAGUAUACAAAAAAAUAAAUAAAAAUUUUGUUGGUGGCCUGCCAAUGGCUGGCACCAACUUUAUGGGAAAAAAAAAUUUCGGGUGCAAUCAAAAUGAGAGUGUUUUGUAGUAUAUCAUCAAAUAAGUUUUUUUGGAAUGGAUUGUAUAUGGAGUUUUUUGUAGUGUACAAUCAAAUUUCGGGGUUCAAUUAUAUACUGUCAUAUUUUAUUUGAGUUGAAUUAUAUACUGUCAAGUCCACCCUAAAGGUUAUGCUAUUAAGGGUUGGAUGAUUCUUUGCACCAUAGAUGGCUAAUCGAGUUGUACAAUAUGCAGAUGGACAUUAUCUAUGGUGCAAUAGUGUUUAUGCUACAACUAGGUUCUGAUUGGAAUCGGUUGAUAGAGUCUCCAUGCAAAGGUAUCUCAUGGGACCUCAUGGGACAAUGGAGGAAGAAAAGGUCUAGAGCAGAAGACGAUUAACUGUGAAGAAACUAGUACCGAUGCCAUGUAGACCUGAUUCAAGCAGAAGACGAUUAAUUGUGAAGAAACUAGUAUUGAAAAUAAUUGUAUUAUUUCUUAAGAAUGUUAUAUUUAUCGUUUUAAAAAUUAUUUAAAAGAAUAUUUAAUAUUAAAUAGGACAUUUUAUUUCUCGGUUACCUUGUACACAAUGCUUGCAAUGUGGUCGUUGUCAUUUAAAAGAACAUUUGGAUUAGGAUCCAUGGAGUGAUCGGCGGUCAUUGGCGAUGGUUAAGCAUGAACAGCGGCGGUCGUCGACAGUGGUUGAGGGUGGCGGUGGACGGAAUGGCCUAUUUAUAGUGGGGGACCAUUUUAAAAGGAGGCAAAAUUGGAAAAAAGAAUUUAAUACUUCUGACACACUUUUAUUUUUCAUUCAAUUUGGUUUAUUUCAUUUAAUUUUAAUCAUUCAAUUUUAUGACACACUUUUUUUUUCUACCAAUCUGAUUUAUUUCAUUCAAUCUGACACACUUUGUUUUUUUUCAUUCAAUUUUAAGCAUGCCAACAUCUGACACACUUUUUUUAUCAUUCAUUUCAAUUUUUUAUUUCUACAUCUAACACGCUUUUUUUCAUUCAAUCUCAUUUAUUUCAAUUUUAUUUUUCUAUAUAUAACACCCUUUUUUUCUUUCAAUCUCAUUUAUUUAAGUAUUAUUUUUCUACAUCUAACACCCUUUUUUUUCAUUCAAUGUCAUUUAUUUUAACUUCUUAAAAUUUUUUUUACAUAAAGGUGGUGUCGGCCAUUGCCAAGCCACCACCAAAAAAAAUAUUUGAAUUUUUUCGUAUACUGUUGCCAGCAAAUGACAGCCAAAAUGUAAAAAAAAAAUUUACAUAAAGGUGAUGCCGGCCAUUGCCAGGCCACCACCAAAAAAAAAUUGUUUUUGAAUUUUUUCGUAUACUGGUGCCGGCCUAUGACAAAAAAAAUGUAAAAAAAAAUUGGUGGUGGCCUGGUAAUGGCCAACACCACCUUUAUGUAAUUUUUUUUUUACAUUUUGGGCUGUCAUUGGCAGGCACUAGUAUACAAAAAAAUAAAAAAAAUUUUGUUGGUGGCUUGCCAAUGGCUGGCACCAACUUUAUGGGAAAAAAAAAUUUCGGGUGCCAUCAAAAUGAGAGUGUUUUGUAGUAUAUCAUCAAAUAAGUUUUUUUGGAGUGGAUUGUAUAUGGAGUUUUUUGUAGUGUACAAUCAAAUUUCGGGGUUGAAUUAUAUACUGUCAUAUUUUAUUGGAGUUGAAUUAUAUACUGUCAAGUCCACCCUAAAGGUUAUGCUAUUAAGGGUUGGAUGAUUCUUUGCACCAUAGAUGGCUAAUCGAGUUGUCCAAUAUGUAGAUGGACAUUAUCUAUGGUGCAAUAGUGUUUAUUCUGCAACUAGGUUCUGAUUGGAAUCGGUUGAUAGAGUCUCCAUGCAAAGGUAUCUCAUGGGACCUCAUGGGACAAUGGAGGAAGAAAAGGUCUAGAGCGGAAGACGAUUAAUUGUGAAGAAACUUGUACCGAUGCCACGUAGACCUGAUUCAAGCAGAAGACGAUUAAUUGUGAAGAAACUAGUAUUGAAAAUAAUUGUAUUAUUUCUUAAGAAUGUUAUAUUUAUCGUUUUAAAAAUUAUUUAAAAUAAUGUUAUAUUUCUCGGUUACCUUGUGCACAAUGCUUGCAAUGUGGUUGUUGUCAUUUAAAAGAACAUUCGGAUUAGGAUCCAUGGAGUCAUCGGCGGUCAUCGGCGAUGGUUAAGCGUGAAUAGCGGCGGUCGUCAGUAGUGGUUGACGGUGGCGGUGGACGGAAUGGCCUGUUUAUAGUGGGGGACCAUUUGAAAGGGGGGCAAAAUUGAAAAAAAAAUUUAAUACUUCUGACACAUUUUUUUUUUCUUUCAAUCUGAUUUAUUUCAUUUAAUUUUAAGCAUUCAAUUUUAUGACACUUUUUUUUUCUACCAAUCUGAUUUAUUUCAUUUAAUCUGACACACUUUUUUUUUCAUUCAAUUUUAAGCAUGCCAACAUCUGAAACACUUUUUUUUUCAUUCAUUUCAAUUUUUUUCUACAUCUAA